GUGGAAGCGAGCUUGCUCACGAUGGCAGUGUGUCGGUCAACAGCCGUGUUAUUGAUCCACCGCUAUCGCGAGCAAGCUCGCUCCCAC
This 87-nucleotide unclassified non-coding RNA is filed under the name Pseudomonas sp. NFACC04-2. Lineage: Bacteria; Pseudomonadati; Pseudomonadota; Gammaproteobacteria; Pseudomonadales; Pseudomonadaceae. The record is from RNAcentral.